AUUGAACGCUGGCGGCAGGCCUAACACAUGCAAGUCGAGCGGAUGAAGGGAGCUUGCUCCUGGAUUCAGCGGCGGACGGGUGUGUAAUGCCUAGGAAUCUGCCUGGUAGUGGGGGAUAACGUCCGGAAACGGGCGCUAAUACCGCAUACGUCCUGAGGGAGAAAGUGGGGGAUCUUCGGACCUCACGCUCUCAGAUGAGCCUAGGUCGGAUUAGCUAUUUGGUGGGGUAAAGGCCUACCAAGGCGACGAUCCGAAACUGGUCUGAGAGGAUGAUCAGUCACACUGGAACUGAGACACGGUCCAGACUCGUACGGGAGGCAGCAGUGGGUAAUAUUGGACAAUGGGCGAAAGCCUGAUGCAGCCAUGCCGCGUGUGUGAAGAAGGUCUUCGGAUUGUAAAGCACUUUAAGUUGGGAGGAAGGGAAGUAAGUUAAUAGCUAGCUGUUGUGACGUUACCAACAGAAUAAGCACCGGCUAACUUCGUG
Molecule: ribosomal RNA, 484 nt
Filed under: uncultured bacterium
Lineage: Bacteria
Description: partial 16S ribosomal RNA
Rfam family: Bacterial small subunit ribosomal RNA
Source: RNAcentral